GGGGGGCUGCACGUUACAGAUGAGGGAGCAACACUUGAUGGCCUUUUCGUCCCGAGGCACCAGCCAGCCCGACCCCGCAACUGCCGCGGCGGGCGGGCGCGGAAGUGCGGGGAAGCCAAAGAGUCCAACCUGCUCAAAAAAAAAAAAAAAAAAAA
Molecule: non-coding RNA, 155 nt
Filed under: Pongo abelii (Sumatran orangutan)
Lineage: Eukaryota; Metazoa; Chordata; Mammalia; Primates; Hominidae
Source: RNAcentral